RNAcentral lists this transfer RNA (72 nucleotides) under Corallococcus macrosporus DSM 14697. RNAcentral describes it as "Myxococcus macrosporus DSM 14697 tRNA-Gln". The record is from RNAcentral. Lineage: Bacteria; Pseudomonadati; Myxococcota; Myxococcia; Myxococcales; Myxococcaceae.
CCGGCAGGAGGUGUGGAAGCACACCUCCGCCGCGCUGGGCGGCGAGACGCGGUUCGGCAUCUACCUGCCGGA